UACGUAGGGGGCAAGCGUUGUCCGGAAUCAUUUGGGCGGUAAAGCGCGUGUAGGCGGCUUCGGUAAGUCCGCUCUGAAAGUCCAGGGCUCAACCCUGGGAUGCGGGUGGAUACUGCCGGGCUCGAGUCCGGAAGAGGCGAGGUGGAAUUCCCGGUGUAGGCGGUGAAAUGCGCAGAUAUCGGGAGGAACACCAGUAGCGAAGGCGGCACGUCUGGGCCCG
Molecule: ribosomal RNA, 220 nt
Filed under: uncultured bacterium
Lineage: Bacteria
Description: partial 16S ribosomal RNA
Rfam family: Bacterial small subunit ribosomal RNA
Source: RNAcentral